UUAUAUCCCUCCAAAAACUGUUAUAGCCACUUCUGAACUGUUGUUCAUCUGCGGUUAAUAAUUGACCAAAUACUUUCUGGGUUUGCUAUUCAUCCGCUUUUACACAAGUAGAUUCCGUCACAAUACGAAGGUUGUUCACGGAAGAUGCGGAGUCACACCUUAAGAUGUUAGCACACUAUGAUGUUUUCAGCGAUGAUAUUUAUGUUAAUUUUACCAAAUCGAUAUCUGCUGCAGCCGUAGUCCCACUCUGAUGUCGUUAUUAUACUGUCAAUCUGUUAUUUAUUUGAAGUUAUCAUGUAAAUGGUGGAGCAUUUUUUUGGUUGAUUAUUGAAGCAAGUAAUCAAUGUUUGAUAUAUGUUGUAAGUGGUGGAGCAUUUUUUUCAAUUGAAUUAUAGCAUAGAUUAUUGUAGAAGCAAGAUUAUACAGUAUGUAUAUUUAUGUAUGUAUGUAAUUGAAUAUGUAGAAGAAAA
Molecule: long non-coding RNA, 470 nt
Organism: Erigeron canadensis
Lineage: Eukaryota; Viridiplantae; Streptophyta; Magnoliopsida; Asterales; Asteraceae
Exons: 2
Source: RefSeq, a predicted model, not a curated record